AUUACACAGCACGUAACUUCCGCUCUUUCCUCUCCCUUCAACCAGUGCUACAUUGCAAAGAUGAAGGCUUCCCAAGGGAAAAGACGGCGAAACAAGAUGAAAUGGACAAAUGCUACCGUUUGCCCCAGGGAUGAAAAAGGCUACUUUGUCCUUAAAAUAAGCUGAUGGCCGUGUUGUGAUAGCAAUGACUCUCCAUGGUAACUAAAGUGCUACAUCCAGCAGUUUACUGGCUGUGGGCAGGAAAGGCCAUGUGUCAAGCGUGAUGGCAGUGGUUUGAGCUGCUGAUAAUGGCCCGUGGCUCCCUUUCAGUGAUUUGGACUCAUGAUGAUGAGCGAAGACUGUCCCUCCCUCCCUCCUUCCCUCCCUCUCUCCCUCCCUCCCCCAGAGGUGACUAAGAUUCAUCAUUUGGACAGUUUUAUUAGGAGGCUAGAGUAUUCAAAUCGAAACGUGUGACUAUGAUGUCUCAUCUGAAUGUUAUUCAAUUAAAUGUGUUUUGAUGAACUCUGCUUUCAUUACUGCAAAUAUUAGCUGACUCACUACGGCGCCCCCUGUCGGCAGUUACUUGAUCUUAACCUGUCAAUUGCGUAUCACUCCAAACUGGUGCCAAUUGGAUUCAAUUUAAGAGGGAACAGCAAAAGGUGACCAUGCUGGCACAAUGAAUCAAAUAUUAACAAAGUGGAAGCCAUGUUGAGCAUUUUUUGAGGGAGGCUGUCCAGACAGAUCAUGUCCUAGUUAGUUUCGACUUUGAUCAUUUCUUCCGCAAGCGGGAUCUCAUCCUCGUUGACGUCCUCCAUAAACUGAUGUGUCGGCACAUUGAGUAGCGACGGGAGGCUGCAGCCCUUCAGGAGGCCGUCUUUGCGAUUGUCCAGUGAGGAGCCUUGCAGAGGGAACGUAUCAGUAGGUCGUUCCAGCUCGAGAUCCUCCAAGCUCAUCCUGCAAAUGUUGAUAAAUGACACGAUACAGUACUGAUUUGGCCAAGAUUGUAUUAGCUACGGAUUGGGACAGAGAAUGUGAUACUUGACCAACGCUAGCGAUAAUGACGGUCUGACGAAGACGGACCUCAUAUCAAAGGUGGAGCCUUUGAAAGCUGGUCUGAGGCCAUCUGCUGCAGUGGACACAGUGUAAGGGAUGGAAAAAUGUUGUUGGGCCCAGUGCUUGUCUUUCUCCAGGGGUGCAAGGUUCUGGUACAUGUCAUCCACAGCCAGCAUUGACACCUUGACAACAAUCACAAUAUCAGUACUGUAAGGUGGGAAAAAACAACCGAGCGAGCACCUGAAUGUUUCUGUCAAUCAGCUGGUUGGUCUCAAAGUCGUCGUCAUCCUCUCCAAACGGGUUGAUGAUCAGCUCUCCCACUUUGAGCCAUCCGGCAUAGAAGAAGAACUGCAGCAGCGUGAAGACGGGCACGUACAGGUCCAGCUUGUGGUCCUUGUAGCCUUUUUCCGGGCUCAGGAACUGACGGCCGACGACGCACAAAGCGAAGAAGGAGUAAACGGCCAACGUCACCACCUGUGUUCAUGAGACGGUUGAGCAAAUAGAAGGCGAUGGAAGGAGGAGGUGUGGCUGACUCAGGUACCUGAGUGUAGACCAGAGGGAUGCUGAUCCAGUCAUAAUGGAACAAGAGACUGCAUUUGGCCCUGUAGUUAUUCAGCUCCUGGAAGGACAGUCAAACUGUAGAGCAAUGUUCCCAAAGUUGGUCAAUGAUGUGAAGGCAAAGUUAGUCACAUCCAUGAGGAGUCUCAAAGCAAUGUCGUCCCUCACGCGGGUCUCCUCUCUCGCUCUGGAUGCUAGAUUGGCGAACCAGGUGAGCGGCAUCCAAUACUUGUUGAAGUCCGAAUGCAGCGACUCCAAAAUCUUCAGCUCGUGUGAUGUCAUAAAGCCUGAAAACAAAUAUUCACAUUUGGUUUUGUUUUUCUUUCUUCCAGAUCGAUCCCAGUUGAUAGAUGGAUGUUACCUACCGGCCUCCACCACGUGCUCCAGCGUGGGGAAGCGCUUGCGCACUCUGGUGCUGACAGAGCGCAGGAUCAGUACUGACGCCAGGUUGGCAUAUCGCAUGAGAGUGCGCCGCAACAUGCGGCCCCUCUCGUCGGCUCCGUGGACGUUCCCGGAGACCACCAUCAUCAGGUUGUCGGGCAGCGGGAAGCUGGUGUAUUGACCCCACCAACGAUUGAACGCCAACGUUACGUAGAAGCCUGUCCAUGCCAAAGCUUCACUUCUCUCUUCUGCUGUAAAUCUGCCUCACUUUGCUUUUAUGACAUCUCCUUUUCCUGUGACAAAUGGUAUUCUUUUCUAUUAUCGUGCAUCACAAAAGUGAAGGUGAAAUGUAAAUGCAAGAGACAAACACUCCUCUUCACACAUUUAUUGUAAAAAAUACAUAUAAAAACCAUUUCUGAGACAUACAAAAGAUUGGAGCUUUAGAAACAGUAUAUCCAACAGACAAAGACCAGCCGUUUUUUUCCACUGCAUUACAUAUUUACAAUUCAAUAAAUAAUAUGAUGCCUCUGCUGUGUGUGUGUGUGUGUACGCACGCGUGCCGCGCAUGCGUACUUGUGUGUUUUUUAAAGAUUGUCCAUAUAUGCUGUGAUGAAAGCUCUGGUGUCUGUAGAUCUGGGGGUCUAUUUAUACAAAAUCCCAUCUUUUGUCGAGUUCUCCCUCCCUCCACGCACAGAGCAAGCUUUUAUAAUUAGCAUUGGUAUAAAUUUGAGGUAUUGCACCACACGGUUUGAGAGGGAAUUAAUUGAGUGGGCUUGGGAAAGUGCCCGCCCACUUUU
Molecule: long non-coding RNA, 2768 nt
Organism: Syngnathus acus (greater pipefish)
Lineage: Eukaryota; Metazoa; Chordata; Actinopteri; Syngnathiformes; Syngnathidae
Exons: 7
Source: RefSeq, a predicted model, not a curated record